RNAcentral lists this long non-coding RNA (486 nucleotides) under Sinocyclocheilus grahami. RNAcentral describes it as "lncRNA (ENSSGRG00000015974.1)". Lineage: Eukaryota; Metazoa; Chordata; Actinopteri; Cypriniformes; Cyprinidae. The record is from RNAcentral.
GGAAAACAAUCAAAUAUUUAGAUUUUUUUUAUGUGGACUGUCUGACUUCGCCUUCCCUUGCCGUGUCUGGUAACACACUUACACUUCUGGAGCCACCAGACUAUGAUCUGCCGGUGAGUACUCUUUAUUAAAAUCAUAGACUUGGCACAUCCUGUCAAAACUAUCAAUACAAGUUCUAUUGAAUAUAGCAGAGGGAAGGCACAUCUGCAGCAGUGGCGUGCACUUCUGCCGAUGAUGAGACGGUGUUGCUGGACUCCAGAAGACUUGAGGAUCCAGACACUGUGCAGCCUGAUAAGCAGCCUAGUAUCAUAAAUUCACAAACUGUCAGACGUCUCUACACAAUGCAUCUUAAGAGUCCGAUAGAGCUGGCAGAGGGCAAGAUCGAAGUGAACAAGAGAAAGCUGCAGGACAUGGACCUUGAGAUGGAAAUUAAACGCAAUACACUGAGGAAACUGGACUUGGAAAUCCAGAAACUAGAGAGAGAAG